GGUUGCUCCAGGAGAUAAGGCAGACAGGGGCACUGUAACCUGCGUGUCUGCGGUCAGGGUGGGAAUGGAUGGAGGCCGCUCCACAAUCUAACAGCUUCCUCUUCGCACUCAAUGGAUCGGAUCAGGAUCACACAGCGGUGGAGGCAGGUUUACAAGUCUGCUUUAAAGGCGCAGUAUGUUUGAAAAGGCCAAGAGAAGUUUUUUUUUUUUUUGUCGCCUGCAGGGUGGAGUUUACCUCAACACUGUUGGUUUCACUCUGCAGAAAUGUCGACCCCUUCAAGCAAAGGGUUAAAUCAGGCUGCCUCGUUCACCUCAAGAGUGGCUUGAAGUGUUCUUUUUGUCUUCAUGGUGGACCCUCCAGUGCCUCUAUACUAAAGUCACUUCAGACACAUUCACUGCACUCAGGUGAACUUUACGUCACUGAUUGUGACUUUUUUCACCAACGUGUGUUGAAUUAGUUGAGUCACUUCAAAUGUGAUGAAUAUUUAUGCAAUACAUGUAAUAAAAGACUCUUUUUUUUAAACUAAGUCCUGCUAAAUGUGACUCCACUAAACACAGACUUUAACGUGGUGAAUGCUUUUGCAAUCACGUGUUAUCACUUGAUUUUUGUAAAAAAUAUUUUUACUCUGACAUGCCCAAAAAGCAACUUUUCUUGAUUACUUACAACCCCUUCUGUUUGCAUCAAAUUAGUUCUGGAACACAUCAUGACACCAUACCCUCCCGAGCAUUAUAUGAACAAUAUUGUACUGCAGAAUGUAGUGUGUUGCUAUAAAAAUGGUCAGGAAAAGGCCAUAAACAAUAGAGAAGACACAGACCAUCAUAACACUUACAAAUGUAGGAUUUUCCUACAGAGAAAUUGCAAAGAAAGUCAAGGUGUCAGUAAGUACAGUUUUCUUCACCAUCAAAAGGCAGUCAGAAGCUUGUUCUAUGCUUUUAUGUCAGAGCACAAUGAGACAUUAACAUGCAAAGUUUAGCAUACAAAAUGGAAAAAUUGGGGCGCACUUUUGACCGGUAGUGUAAGCUAAGUUCAAAAAAUGUUUAAGAACAAAAAUCUAUCAGAACUGCUGUCAUUGAUUCUAGUUACUCCAGUGUUUAUUUAUUUAUUUAUUUAUUUGUAACAUUUUUUUCACUUUUUUGGGUUUUUUUUUUUUAAAUAAAAGAUGUACACAAGUCAAAAGAAACACCAACAACACUAUAUAUAUAUAUAUAUUAAUACUAUAUGCUAAUUUUGCAAAGAAAUUCUUUUUGUUUUAAUUUUAAAAGAUUUUUUUUGCUGAAGAUUCCAGUUACUUCACUUUUUUUUUUUUUUAACUUUUUUGGAGGCUUUUAAAGAAAGUACACCAAUCAACCAAAAGAAACAAAAAAUACUUGCAAAUGUAAAUAUAUGGUAGUUACUCUAUUUUGUCUUUUUUUCUUUUCUCUUUUGAAUCAUUUUUGGGGGCUUUUGCCCCUUUCCUUUUGACUUGCUUCUCUUCACUGGCUUCCUGUUAAAUCCAGAAUAGAAUUUAAAAUCCUUCUUCUGACAUAUAAAGCUCUUAGUAACCAAUCUCCAUCAUAUCUUAAAGAUCUGAUAGUACCUUAUUAUCCUAAUAGAACUCUUCGCUCUCAAACUGCAGGCUUACUUGUUGUUCCUAGAAUUUCUAAAAGUAGAAUGGGAGGCAGAGCCUUCAGUUAUCAGGCACCUCUCCUGUGGAACCUGCUCCCAGUUUGGGUUCGGGAGGCAGAUACCCUCUCUAUUUUUAAGAAUAGGCUUAAGACGUUCCUUUUUGACAAAUCUUAUAGUUGGGGCUGACUGGGUGACCCACAGGGGUUCGGCUUGUGUCUUCAUUUGCACAGCUGACUCCCUCUUGGACAUCCCUUCGUUCUGCCUCUAGUCAUGCUGCUAUAGGCCUAUAGGCUGCUGGGGGACUUCUCUUGACGCACUGAGCCCUUCUCUAUCUACCUUUACAUUUAAUAUGUAUACCGUUAUUGCAGUACAUUCACUCUGUUUCCCCCUGUGCUAUUUCUCCGAGUGUCCCUGGUCCCAGAGCUGGAUGCUUCAGAUCUGCGGUUGAUGUUCCACCAGCUGGUCCAGUCUCCACCAUGUCCACUGUGGGAUGCUGCUGCUGACCUUCCUCCAGCCCUCCCCUUCCAACUCCCCUUUUCCACCAGUCAACUCUGCAUCGCCUUCACUAUACUGUUAUGCUAACUUACAUACUGUUUGAAUUUUACUGCUAGCUAUAUAUGGAGUAUGUUUAAUGUCAGAGCCGUACAUCAUAAGAGUAAACUAUGAGUCAGUUUUCAAUGUUAGCUUAUACUUUGUUUGGUUCACAUAUCCUGUCAUGCAUGUAUCCAAAUGUGUGUUGUGUUUUCCUUGCUUUCCCACCCCUCCCUCUUCUCCCAUCCCUCCCCCUUGCCCUCCUCUGUCCCUCUCAACCCGCCCGGCCAGCAGGCAGAUGGGUCCCCCCUAUAUAGAGCCGGGUUCUGCUCGAGGUUUCUUCCCUGUUAAAAGGGUGUUUUUCCUUGCCACUGUCGCCUUUGGGCUUGCUCAGGGGGUCAGGCAUAUGGGUUCUGUAAAGCGUCUUGAGACGAUUUGACUGUAUUUGACGCUAUAUAAAUAAAAUUGAAUUGAAUUGAA
Long non-coding RNA from Acanthochromis polyacanthus (spiny chromis), 2617 nucleotides. RefSeq lists it as uncharacterized. The record is from RefSeq and is a predicted model, not a curated record. NCBI's taxonomy places the organism in Eukaryota, Metazoa, Chordata, Actinopteri, Pomacentridae. The transcript is spliced from 3 exons.